Molecule: ribosomal RNA, 509 nt
Filed under: uncultured bacterium
Lineage: Bacteria
Description: partial 16S ribosomal RNA
Rfam family: Bacterial small subunit ribosomal RNA
Source: RNAcentral
GACGAACGCUGGCGGCGCGCUUAAUACAUGCAAGUCGAGCGAGAACCAGGGCUUCGGCCCUGGGGACAGCGGCGAACGGGUGAGUAACACGUGGGUAAUCAACCCCCGACACCGGGAUAGCCCAGGGAAACUUGGAUUAAUACCGGAUGCCCCAUCUGGCUUUCGAGCCGGCUGGAAAAGGGUAGCUUCGGCCUCCGGUCGGGGACGAGCCCGCGGCGGAUUAGCUUGUUGGUGAGGUAAAGGCCCGCCAAGGCGACGAUCCGUAGCUGGGCUGAGCGGACGCUCAGCCACACGGGGGCUGAGACACGGCCCAGCCGCCUACGGGGGGCAGCAGUAGGGAAUCUUGCGCAAUGGGCGAAAGCCUGACGCAGCGACGCCGCGUGAGGGAAGAAGGCCUUCGGGUUGUAAACCUCUUUCAGGAGGGACGAAGCCACUCGGGUUAAUAGCCUAGAGGGUGACGGUACCUCCAGAAGAAGCCCCGGCUAACUACGUGCCAGCCGCCGCCGUAC